This 1061-nucleotide ribosomal RNA is filed under the name Bostrychia calliptera. RNAcentral's name for it is "eukaryotic LSU rRNA". It matches the Rfam family "Eukaryotic large subunit ribosomal RNA", at positions 1278 to 2159 of the family's 3401-position model. The record is from RNAcentral. Lineage: Eukaryota; Rhodophyta; Florideophyceae; Ceramiales; Rhodomelaceae.
GUGUGUAACAACUCACCUGCCGAAUGAAUUAGCCCUGAAAAUGGAUGGCGCUGAAGCGGGUAGCCGACACUAUGCCGUCUGAGCAAAAAUACGUAAAAUUGAGUUGAAUUGACGAGAUUCUGAAAAUUGUGUGAUUGUGUGAAAUUGAGUUGAAUUGACGAGAUUUUGAAAAUUGUGUGAUUGUGUGAAACUGAGUUGAAUUGACGAGAUUUUGAAAAUGAAAAGACAGAUGAGUAGGAGGGAACGUGGCGGUCGUAUUGAAGCGUAUGCGCAAGCAUGCGUGGAACGGCCGCUAGUGCAGAUCUUGGUGGUAGUAGCAAAUAUUCAAAUGAGAACCUUGAAGGGCGAAGCGGGGAAGGGUUCCACGCGAACAUUGAUUGGGCGUGGGUGAGUCGUUCCUAAGCCAAAUGGUAAUUGAUUAGACAAAAUGCGCGAAAGGGAAGCAGGUUGAUAUUCCUGCACACGGAUGUGGAUAUGCGGUGACGCACACUGGGGCGGUGAAGUCGUCGGUUGCACUGGGCAGAGAUUUCUUUUCUGUUUGACGGAGCCUGACUGUACGCUAUGGAAUCCGCUUGUCGGGAGAAAUAGGUAUGUCACGGCAAAGCGCCGGGUUUUUUUUCUGGCGUCCAGGUUGCGACUGGCGGACCUUGAAAAACUGUCUGCUGGCAAAACAGAGAUGUUUUGUGUGAAAAAUUCCACGCCGUAACGUACCCAUAACCGCAUCAGGUCCCCAAGGUGAACAGCCUCUGCUCGAUAUGAACAAUGCAGGUGAGGGAAGUCGGCAAAUUGGACCCGUAACUUUGGGAAAAGGGUUGGCUCUAGUGCUGCGUAGGAGUGGUUGCUGGUUGCAGCUGCAGAAUCUGGCUUUUUUUCUGNGAGGGCUGCGGGCUGCGCGCGCGCACGCUUUUGAGCUUUUCUUGAGCGUGUUUGUGUGUGUGUGCCUGCGCCUUUGUGCGGGAUUUUGGCUGGAAUUUUGCGGUUCCUGGCGACGCCUACAGCAUGCAGCAAACUAGAACUGCAACGGACAAAGGGAAUCCGACUGUUUAAUUAAAACAAAGCAU